UACUCUUGACAUCCACAGAAUUCGCUAGAGAUAGCUUAGUGCCUUCGGGAACUGUGAGACAGGUGCUGCAUGGCUGUCGUCAGCUCGUGUUGUGAAAUGUUGGGUUAAGUCCCGCAACGAGCGCAACCCUUAUCCUUGUUUGCCAGCACGUAAUGGUGGGAACUCCAGGGAGACUGCCGGUGAUAAACCGGAGGAAGGUGGGGACGACGUCAAGUCAUCAUGGCCCUUACGAGUAGGGCUACACACGUGCUACAAUGGCGCAUACAGAGGGCUGCAAGCUAGCGAUAGUGAGCGAAUCCCAAAAAGUGCGUCGUAGUCCGGAUCGGAGUCUGCAACUCGACUCCGUGAAGUCGGAAUCGCUAGUAAUCGUGAAUCAGAAUGUCACGGUGAAUACGUUCCCGGGCC
Molecule: ribosomal RNA, 405 nt
Filed under: uncultured bacterium
Lineage: Bacteria
Description: bacterial SSU rRNA
Rfam family: Bacterial small subunit ribosomal RNA
Source: RNAcentral